CUUGCACCUGGAUCAAUGGGCUGCCCUAAUGAAGGAUAUCAAAAAUGAAGGGGCAGCUAAAGAAAAAUAAAAGACACCUCAGAAAGUAGCCUGCCUCUUUGACAAGGGACAUGCCUUCAGAGGAACAUAACAGAAACCUCUGAGAAUUGUCAACAAUAAAAAGACUGAGCAACAAGGGAAACUGGUAGGAAGCCAAAGGUUUUAAGAGGUGAGAGUGGAGAAAUGCUGUGCUUUUAUUGAUCCUCUCCAAAGGAACACCUUUAAAAAAGAACUCCUGGAGAGCCACUCUUGAAGACUGGGAGUAACCUCAGAGAAGGGGAGAGAAACAUCUCACUUCUCAAGGUGGAACCACAGAAGCAGAGGUCCACCUCAGCACGACCACCAAGGUUGGAACACAGAGAGUGAGUUCAUGGAAACACCUGAUAUGUUACCCUGGAAAUUGAAGGCAUCUGAGAACAGGAAAAUGGAUGCUUGCCUUUCACCUGAAGAUUAUGAAGGUGGCUGGAGCCGCCCAUGGUGGUAGCAAACAGAGGAGGAGGCAAGGGAGAACACUCUAGUUUCCCCAGAGCUGAAGUAACAAUAUGAAUUUCUACAGGCCAAUGCGAGACUACAGAAAGUAACCAGCCUAGAGCUACCCUAUAUAACCUACAUUACUGUCUGGAAUAGAGAAAUCCAAGAGAAACAGAGAGAAGGUGCCCCUCUAGGAGCAGGGGCUGAGUUGGGUCACAGGAAGUCAUCUCUGGAGACACUGGCUGUGCAGUGCCUUCUUUAUUAGGGGCCUCUUAUAGCCCCUUCUUUAUUAGACAGCCUUUACAACCAGAUUACAUGUAAGAUUUCUUACCUUUUUUCUAUAUUCUCCCUUAUUUCACCAUCUACCCUGGAGGAAACAGAUAAAGUAGGAAAGGAGUAAAAAAAAAAAAAAUAAAAAAGAGAUGAUCUAGUAAAAGUACACGUUCUGCUUCACCUGUCUUUACUUCAUGAACCCUAACCUUGCCAUCCUGCUCCAUAAGCAUGCUGGAAACAUUCAUACCCAGAGGAUUUCUUGUCAUCAGGGCCAUUGCUACUCAUCUCUCAUUAUAACCUAUAAGGUUAUUAUAAGGACUCAGGGUAGUUUGCAUAAUAUUUAUAGACAACACCAUAGCCAAUUAUGGAAAUAAGGGUUUUUUUCUAAACAGGACGUAGAGAAAUAAGGUCAUUCCUGUCUUCCAGCUGAAUGCUGCUGUCUUUAUUUGAUCUUGACAGAAAUUCAUCCACAGCUGCUUGCAUAAGGUAUAACAAGGAUCUCUUUAAACCUGUGGGGAGACUAAAAAUGGGGCUUUAGAGUUCCAAUUACUUAGUGCCUGAUGCAUGAAGAAUCAUAUAAAUAAAUGAUAGAGAAAUAAAUAAGUAGAGCAUAAAUGAUAGAGAAUAUUGACUAUAGUGUAGACUAUAGAUAAUUUGAAUGAUUAUAGACUCAUUGUUUCAACAAGUUCUUGUUGAGUAUUUACUACAUGGUAGGCACUGAGUGUUGAGUAGAUCUGUCACUAUCAAAUUUUAUAUAUAAUAUAAAAUAUCUGCCUCCCCCAUUUCAUUGUGAGAAAUCUAUUAUUAUAUAAUCCUAAAUAGAGAUAAGUACUAUGAAGCAAAAUAAUAAGAUGUAACAAUGGAGAACUCUACAUUUGGGCAUUAGGGGGAAGUUCUCUGAGCAAGUGAUAUUUAAGCUGAUGAUUGAAGGAUAAGAAGAUAACAGCAGAUGAAGAAUUGGAGACCACGGUAUGGAAAAGAAUUUGGUGUUUGCCAGAAAUUUAAGGAACGCUAGUACGACUGGAGCUUAGAGUGAAAAGUGGAAAAUAGUGUAAAAUACAGUUAGAUGUAAGGUAGAGCAUGUGCCUUAUAGACAUCCAGGGUCUUGUAGACUUUUCAAAUAAAUUGUUUGGAUUUUACUCCCAGUAUGAGAAAACUGAAGGUUUUAAACUUUACUGGUCCACAUUUUAAAAGAUCACCGUGGCUGCAGGCUGUGUAGGAGAAUGAAUUGACAAGGAGUCAAAAUAAGGACCAGUAAGGAGACUAUGCAGAAGAUAAAGAAAAAAAUGAUGUCUUGAAUUUGAUGGUGCAGCAAAGGGGAGGAAAAUUAAGCCCUUUUUCCUUCUGAUUCCACAUACUUGAAAGGGACAAGCAUAUCUACUGUCAGUUUAACUACCACUUCUAUGCUUAUGACUCCUGAAUCUCUGUAGCUACAGUUACGUUCCUAAAACCCACACUCUCUAAACUCCCUUCUUCCUCAUAUCCAGUUGCUUAACGGACGCUUCCUCUUAGAUAGCACAAAUUGAAAUGGAACUCUUUGUCUUCCCCUCAAAACUUGGUGCCUUUGUGACUUCUCAUCACUCUCCCCAUCACUUGAAAUCAAAAUUUUGGCAUCACAUUUGGUGCCUCCCUUUCUGUCCAACUCCCAUGUCCACGAUGGCGAAGUACUAAAAGUAUAUGCUCUAGAGUCAGAAUGCUUAGGCCAAUGAAUUGGAACGGUAUUACGGGACAUUUAUCUGGUAUGUGGUUGCCAUUGCUAUGGUCUCAAUGGCACAUUGUAUUUUAGUAAUUAUUUUUAAUUUCAACCACUGCAUGCCCUGGAGAGGCAGUAAAUCUACCUAAUUGCACCAAUAGUUUCUGUCCAAAUCAAGUCAACAUAGCAGCACUGAGUUGAAGAAUGGAUAUGGUCUGAUCCUCCUCAGUUGUUUUAAGAAGAGAAAUAUUACUUCCUUACUUAACUAUAAUUUUCUCAAUGAAUAGUAUGCAGACAGCCACAGUCCUUAUACUGCAAAGUACAAUCAUGAUAAACAGUGAGCUAUGGUGGCUCUGGAGGAAGACAGGCCUAGUUUUUCAAGAAAAUCUAAAAAUUAACCCAGUUAGAGGGAGAGCUGACAUUUUAGAAAGUACUGACAGAGACUUUGCAGUUAUGAGAGAAUGAGAAAGAGUACGAUCUGCAAGAAAGAGCAGUUUGAAUGAGAGGAGCAAAUGGCGAAAAGUGAUACCUACACACGGUGGGGAGGAGGAAGAAAUAGAACUCAAAGGAUUCAGAGAAGCAGAGCUCAGAGAUGCUAAUGAUCUUCCCUUUGCCCCUCCAAAUCCACUCUCCACCUGCUCUCUGGUGGGGAAAGGUAUGCGUAUAUGCACCUCUAUAGACAUUUACAAGCUCUCUUGUCCUAUUGCUUCCAGUUGGGUAUAGUAAAAAGGAAUACGCCACCAAAAGUUAAGAGAAAGGAGAAAGGAAAAUUGGGGUAUUUAUUCCUUUGGCUCCCCACUGCAGGGUUUUUAUGGCCUAGACUGUGACCCUCAACUAAAAGCCACAGCUCCUGUUACCAACAGGCCAUUGUUAUCACACCCAGAUUACUGCAUUAUCCCUUGAAUUUUCCCUACAUUCAGCCCCUACACC
This 3406-nucleotide long non-coding RNA is filed under the name Homo sapiens (human). RNAcentral's name for it is "HSALNT0316424". The record is from RNAcentral. Lineage: Eukaryota; Metazoa; Chordata; Mammalia; Primates; Hominidae.